AGUUUGAUCAUGGCUCAGAUUGAACGCUGGCGGCAGGCCUAACACAUGGCAAGUCGAACGGUAACAGGAAGAAGCUUGCUUCUUUGCUGACGAGUGGCGGACGGGUGAGUAAUGUCUGGGAAACUGCCUGAUGGAGGGGGAUAACUACUGGAAACGGUAGCUAAUACCGCAUAACGUCGCAAGACCCAAAAAAGGGGGGACCUUCGGGCCUCUUGCCAUCGGAUGUGCCCAGAUGGGAUUAGCUAGUAGGUGGGGUAACGGCUCACCUAGGCGACGAUCCCUAGCUGGUCUGAGAGGAUGACCAGCCACACUGGAACUGAGACACGGUCCAGACUCCUACGGGAGGCAGCAGUGGGGAAUAUUGCACAAUGGGCGCAAGCCUGAUGCAGCCAUGCCGCGUGUAUGAAGAAGGCCUUCGGGUUGUAAAGUACUUCAGCGGGAGGAAGGGAGUAAAGUUAAUACCUUUGCUCAUUGACGUUACCCGCAGAAGAAGCACCGGCUAACUCCGUG
Molecule: ribosomal RNA, 510 nt
Filed under: uncultured bacterium
Lineage: Bacteria
Description: bacterial SSU rRNA
Rfam family: Bacterial small subunit ribosomal RNA
Source: RNAcentral